This 89-nucleotide transfer RNA is filed under the name Kordia sp. SMS9. RNAcentral describes it as "tRNA-Ser". It matches the Rfam family "tRNA". Rfam says of the family: Transfer RNA (tRNA) molecules are approximately 80 nucleotides in length. Their secondary structure includes four short double-helical elements and three loops (D, anti-codon, and T loops). Lineage: Bacteria; Pseudomonadati; Bacteroidota; Flavobacteriia; Flavobacteriales; Flavobacteriaceae. The record is from RNAcentral.
AGAGAGGUGGCCGAGUGGUCGAAGGCGCACGCCUGGAAAGUGUGUAUGCGGCAUAACCGUAUCGAGGGUUCGAAUCCCUUCCUCUCUGC